UCCUCCCUCUGGCGGCGUGCUUAACACAUGCAAGUCGAACGCUGAACCCGCUUCGGUGGGGGAUGAGUGGCGAACGGGUGAGUAACACGUGGGCAACCUGCCCCCGGCUCUGGGAUAACUCCAAGAAAUUGGGGCUAAUACCGGAUGUGACCGCUGGCCGCAUGGUCUGGUGGUGGAAAGGGUUUCCGGCUGGGGAUGGGCCCGCGGCCUAUCAGCUUGUUGGUGGGGUAGUGGCCUACCAAGGCGACGACGGGUAGCCGGCCUGAGAGGGUGACCGGCCACACUGGGACUGAGACACGGCCCAGACUCCUACGGGAGGCAGCAGUGGGGAAUAUUGCGCAAUGGGCGGAAGCCUGACGCAGCGACGCCGCGUGGGGGAUGACGGCCUUCGGGUUGUAAACCUCUUUCAGCAGGGACGAAGCGCAAGUGACGGUACCUGCAGAAGAAGCACCGGCCAACUACGUG
RNAcentral lists this ribosomal RNA (465 nucleotides) under uncultured bacterium. RNAcentral's name for it is "partial 16S ribosomal RNA". It matches the Rfam family "Bacterial small subunit ribosomal RNA", at positions 34 to 507 of the family's 1533-position model. The record is from RNAcentral.